This 810-nucleotide ribosomal RNA is filed under the name Myocastor coypus (nutria). Its description in RNAcentral is "partial 16S ribosomal RNA". The stretch from base 168 to 643 matches the Rfam family "Bacterial large subunit ribosomal RNA", at positions 573 to 1301 of the family's 2925-position model. The record is from RNAcentral. Lineage: Eukaryota; Metazoa; Chordata; Mammalia; Rodentia; Myocastoridae.
UAAUACUAGCCUAAUAUUCACAUAUAACUCAAGUACUAUAUAUAUAUAUAUUACAAACAAAACAUUUACAUCUAAAAGUAUAGGUGAUAGAAAUUUAAAAUUUACAUAGCGCUAUAGAGAUAGUACCGUAAGGGAAAGAUGAAAGAAGAAUAAAAGUACAACAAGCAUAGAUUACACCUAGUACCUUUUGCAUAAUGAGUUAACUAGAAUAAACUUGACAAAAAGAAUUUAAGUCAAAAUUCCCGAAACCAAACGAGCUACUUCUGAACAGCUAACAUGAGCAAACUCGUCUAUGUAGCAAAAUAGUGAGAAGAUUUAGAAGUAGAGGUGAAAAGCCUAUCGAGCUUGGUGAUAGCUGGUUAUCCAAAUAAGAAUCUCAGUUCAGCUUUAAGUUUUCCUAAAAACCAUAAAAUUUAAAUGAAAACUUAAAUGCUAAUUUAAGGAGGGACAGCUCCUUAAGUAAGGAUACAUCCUUAAACAGAGGGUAAAAACUAUAAAUACCAUAGUAGGCUUAAAAGCAGCCACCAAUUAAGAAAGCGUUCUAGCUCAACAAAACACCUAAUUUUAUCCCUAAAACAUAUCAAUAAACCCCUGUCGAGACAAUUGGAUUAAUCUAUUAUUUCAUAGAAGAAACAAUGUUAAUAUUAGUAAUUAGAAUUAUUUCUCCUUGCACAAGCCUAAACUAUUCAAACAUAAUAAAUUAACAACCAUAUAAAAGAUACACCUACAAGUAGAUUAUUACUGCAAUUGUUAUCCCAACCCAGGAGUGCAAUAAGGAAAGACUAAAACAAGUAAAAGGAACUCGGCAAA